UUCCGGUUGAUCCUGCCGGACCUGACUGCUAUCGGAUUGAUACUAAGCCAUGUGAGCCAUUGCAGUAAUGCAAGGCAGACGGCUCAGUAACACGUAGUCAACCUACCCUAUAGACGGGGAUAACCUCGGGAAACUGAGGAUAAACCCCGAUAGAUCAUUAUGCCUGGAACGGUUUAUGGUCCAAAUGAUUCGUCGCUAUAGGAUGGGACUGCGGCCUAUCAGCUUGUUGGUGAGGUAAUGGCCCACCAAGGCUAUUACAGGUACGGGCUCUGAGAGGAGAAGCCCGGAGAUGGGUACUGAGACACGGACCCAGGUCCUAUGGGGCGCAGCAGGCGAGAAAACUUUGCAAUGUGCGCCAGCACGACAAGGUUAAUCCGAGUGAUUCCUGCUAAAGGAAUCUUUUGUUAGUUGUAAAACCACUGAUGAAUAAGGGGUGGGCAAGUUCUGGUGUCAGCCGCCGCGGUAAAACCAGCACCUCAAGUGGUCAGGAGGAUUAUUGGGCCUAAAGCAUCCGUAGCCUGCUCUGUAAGUUUUCGGUUAAAUCCAUCAGCUCAACUGAUGGGCCGCCGAAAAAACUGCAAAGCUAGGGAGUGGGAGAGGUAGACGGUACUCGAUAGGAAGGGGUAAAAUCCUUUGAUCUAUUGAUGGCCCCCUGUGGCGAAGGCGGUCUACCAGAACACGUUCGACGGUGAGGGAUGAAAGCUGGGGGAGCAAACCGGAUUAGAUACCCGGGUAGUCCCAGCUGUAAACGAUGCAGACUCGGUGAUGCCCUGUCUUGUGGACAGUGCAGUGCCGCAGGAAAGCCGUUAAGUUUGCCGCCUGGGAAGUACGUACGCAAGUAUGAAACUUAAAGGAAUUGGCCGGUGAGCACUCAACGGGGUGAAGCCUGCGGUCAAUUGGAAUCAACGCCGGUAAUCU
This 918-nucleotide ribosomal RNA is filed under the name uncultured archaeon. RNAcentral's name for it is "bacterial SSU rRNA". It matches the Rfam family "Archaeal small subunit ribosomal RNA", at positions 1 to 927 of the family's 1478-position model. The record is from RNAcentral.